AAAUUCCUUGUCGGGUAAGUUCCGACCUGCACGAAUCUUGUAACGACUGAACGACUGUCUCGGAGAGGUUCUCGGCGAAACUGUAACGGCGGUGAAGAUGCCGCCUGCCCGCAGUAGGACGGAAAGACCCUAUGCACCUUUACUGUAAGCUCGUAUUGGCUUCUGGUUGAUGAUGCUUAGCGUAGGUGGGAGACUUUGAAGGCAUGGCUUCGGUUGUGCUGGAGUCGCAAUGUGAAACACCACUCUUUGUCAACUAGGAGUCUAACCUCGAUCCCGUUAGCCGGGCGAGGGACAGUGCGUGCGGGUCAGUUUGGCUGGGGCGGCUUCCUCCCAAAUGGUAACGGAGGAGCGCGAAGCUGGGCUCAGCAUGGUUGGCAACCAUGCGUCGAGCGUAUGGGUAGAAGCCCGGUUAACUGCGAGACCAACAAGUCAAGCAGAUGCGAAAGCAGGCCCAAAUGAUCCGAUGGUUGAAUGUGGAAUUGCCAUCGCUCAACGGACAAAAGGUACGCUAGGGAUAACAGGCUGAUCGGGACCAAGAGUUCACAUCGACGUCCCGGUUUGGCACCUCGAUGUCGGCUCAUCACAUCCUGGGGCUGGAGAAGGUCCCAAGGGUUCGGCUGUUCGCCGAUUAAAGUGGCACGCGAGCUGGGUUCAGAACGUCGUGAGACAGUUCGGUCCCUAUCUGUCGUGGGUGUAGGAGUGUUGAGAGGAUUUGUCCCUAGUACGAGAGGACCGGGAUGAACACACCUCUGGUGGACCUGUUGUGGCGCCAGCCGCAAUGCAGGGUAGCUAUGUGUGGACGGGAUAACCGCUGAAGGCAUCUAAGCGGGAAACCCACCUCAAAACGAGCGCUCCCUUGAGAGGCGUGGAAGACGACCACGUUGAUAGGCUGGGUGUGUAAGCGCG
This 906-nucleotide ribosomal RNA is filed under the name Blepharisma japonicum. RNAcentral's name for it is "partial Bacterial large subunit ribosomal RNA". It matches the Rfam family "Bacterial large subunit ribosomal RNA", at positions 1962 to 2877 of the family's 2925-position model. Lineage: Eukaryota; Ciliophora; Heterotrichea; Heterotrichida; Blepharismidae. The record is from RNAcentral.